This 254-nucleotide ribosomal RNA is filed under the name uncultured bacterium. Its description in RNAcentral is "partial 16S ribosomal RNA". It matches the Rfam family "Bacterial small subunit ribosomal RNA", at positions 524 to 777 of the family's 1533-position model. The record is from RNAcentral.
GACAGAGGCCUCAAGCGUUAGGCGGAAUCACUGGCGUUAAAGCGUGUGUAGGCGGAUCGUUAAGUGUCUUGUGAAAUCCCACGGCUCACCCGUGGAACUGCUGGGCAUACUGGCGAUCUUGGGCCAACUAGGGGCAACUGGAACAAGCGGUGGAGCGGUGAAAUGCGUAGAUAUCGCUUGGAACGCCGAAGGUGAAAACAGGCUGCUGGGGUUGUGCCGACGCUGAGACACGAAAGCCAGGGGAGCAAACGGGG